This 253-nucleotide ribosomal RNA is filed under the name uncultured bacterium. RNAcentral's name for it is "partial 16S ribosomal RNA". It matches the Rfam family "Bacterial small subunit ribosomal RNA", at positions 524 to 776 of the family's 1533-position model. The record is from RNAcentral.
GACGAACCGUGCGAACGUUGUUCGGAUUCACUGGGCUUAAAGGGCGCGUAGGCGGCUUGCCAAGUCAGGGGUGAAAUCUUUCGGCUCAACCGGAAAAGUGCUUCUGAUACUGGCAGGCUGGAGGGAGGUAGGGGCAGAUGGAACUUCCGGUGGAGCGGUGAAAUGCGUAGAUAUCGGAAGGAACGCCGGUGGCGAAAGCGAUCUGCUGGACCUCUUCUGACGCUGAGGCGCGAAAGCCAGGGGAGCAAACGGG